RNAcentral lists this ribosomal RNA (331 nucleotides) under uncultured bacterium. RNAcentral describes it as "bacterial SSU rRNA". It matches the Rfam family "Bacterial small subunit ribosomal RNA", at positions 28 to 356 of the family's 1533-position model. The record is from RNAcentral.
GAUGAACGCUAGCGGCAGGCCUAAUACAUGCAAGACGAACGGUAAGUUGAGUAGCAAUACUUAGCCAAGAGUGUCGUACGGGUGCGUAACACGUAUGCAACCUACCCUAUACAGGAGGAUAGCCUAGGGAAACCUGGAUUAACCCUUCAUAGUAUUAUUGGAUGGCAUCAUUUGAUAAUUAAAACUGAGGUGGUAUAGGAUGGGCAUGCGUCUGAUUAGUUAGUUGGCGGGGUAAUGGCCCACCAAGACGAUGAUCAGUAGGGGUUCUGAGAGGAAGGUCCCCCACACUGGCACUGAGAUACGGGCCAGACUCCUACGGGAGGCAGCAGUA